Molecule: ribosomal RNA, 480 nt
Filed under: uncultured bacterium
Lineage: Bacteria
Description: bacterial SSU rRNA
Rfam family: Bacterial small subunit ribosomal RNA
Source: RNAcentral
AACGAACGCUGGCGGCGUGCUUAACACAUGCAAGUCGAACGAGAAAGCGGGCUUCGGUCCGCUAGUAAAGUGGCAGACGGGUGAGUAACACGUGGGUAACCUGCCCGGAGGUGGGGGACAACCCUCCGAAAGGAGGGCUAAUACCGCAUGAUAUCCCUGAGGCUUCGGCCUUGAGGAUCAAAGCUAGCCUCUACAUGUAAGCUAGCUCCACCGGAGGGGCCCGCGGCCCAUUAGCUAGUUGGGAGGUAACGGCUCACCAAGGCGACGAUGGGUAGCCGGCCUGAGAGGGUGUUCGGCCACACUGGAACUGAGACACGGUCCAGACUCCUACGGGAGGCAGCAGUGAGGAAUCUUGCGCAAUGGGCGAAAGCCUGACGCAGCGACGCCGCGUGGAGGACGAAGGUCUUCGGAUCGUAAACUCCUGUCAAGUGGGACGAAGGCUGUUGGGAUGAAUAAGCCCAGCAGUUGACGGUACCGCUG